Molecule: ribosomal RNA, 435 nt
Filed under: uncultured Porphyromonadaceae bacterium
Lineage: Bacteria; Pseudomonadati; Bacteroidota; Bacteroidia; Bacteroidales; Porphyromonadaceae
Description: bacterial SSU rRNA
Rfam family: Bacterial small subunit ribosomal RNA
Source: RNAcentral
CAGCAGUGAGGAAUAUUGGUCAAUGGCCGAGAGGCUGAACCAGCCAAGUCGCGUGAGGGAUGACGGCCCUACGGGUUGUAAACCUCUUUUGUCGGGGAGCAAAGGGAGUCACGUGUGACUCAUUGAGAGUACCCGAAGAAAAAGCAUCGGCUAACUCCGUGCCAGCAGCCGCGGUAAUACGGAGGAUGCGAGCGUUAUCCGGAUUUAUUGGGUUUAAAGGGUGCGCAGGCGGAGGUGCAAGUCAGCGGUCAAAUUGCGGGGCUCAACCCCGUACUGCCGUUGAAACUGCAUCCCUUGAGUGCGCGAGAAGUAUGCGGAAUGCGUGGUGUAGCGGUGAAAUGCAUAGAUAUCACGCAGAACUCCGAUUGCGAAGGCAGCAUACCGGCGCGCAACUGACGCUCAUGCACGAAAGCGUGGGUAUCGAACAGGAUUAGA